Ziziphus jujuba (common jujube) is the source of this 549-nucleotide long non-coding RNA. RefSeq lists it as uncharacterized. NCBI's taxonomy places the organism in Eukaryota, Viridiplantae, Streptophyta, Magnoliopsida, Rosales, Rhamnaceae. The transcript has 3 exons. The record is from RefSeq and is a predicted model, not a curated record.
AAAUACUGUUCCGGUGACCGUUGCCGAUGACGUGGCGGCCUGCCGGAAAAUACUGUUCCGGCGAGUACCCGAAAAUUCCGGCCAGCUCCAGUCCGCAGUGUUCGACCUCCUGAAUCCGAAUCCGGCUUCCGUUUCCACCAAUUCGCGACGGUUUGGGAGAAUUGCGGAGCCGAAACUCGAAAAGCUUUCCGGCGAGAUUCCGACCCCGUCGGGUUCGAUCACCGGAAAGUAAGACCGAAUCCGUGAUCCUCAUCACGCGAGCUUCGAUUCGGUGCACGCGCGAGUAGUGGAGUGGAUCCCGAGGAGGAUCUUAGUUGAUUUGCGCUCUCCAGGUGCAAGUGGUGGUAGACGUUCUUCCGGAGCGAACCAAGUUUUCCGCUGCUGUUGUGUUUCGAGAAGUUUCUUUGUACUCUUUCAUUUCAGUGUAUUAUUUCUUUUCAGCCUUGUUGUAUUUCUGUUGUUUAGCACUUCUUAAAGCUCUGUAUACUAUUGGAAUACUUCUGUUUUAUUUAUGCACUGGACUGUUGUUGCUUUGAGAAGUGCUGGAAU